GGGUAUGCCUUCAGUUCACGGCGAAGUGAAGCGGCAACAGCUUCAAAUUUGAAAUCUGGCCGCAAGGUCCGAGUUGUAAUUUGUAGAGGAUGCUUUUGGCGAGGUGCCUUCCGAGUUCCCUGGAACGGGACGCCAUAGAGGGUGAGAGCCCCGUACGGUAGGACCACCAAGCCUCUGUAAAGCUCCUUCGACGAGUCGAGUAGUUUGGGAAUGCUGCUCUAAAUGGGAGGUGUACGUCUUCUAAAGCUAAAUACCGGCCAGAGACCGAUAGCGCACAAGUAGAGUGAUCGAAAGAUGAAAAGCACUUUGAAAAGAGGGUUAAAAAGUACGUGAAAUUGUUGAAAGGGAAGCAUUCAUGACCAGACUUGGGCUUGGUUGAACAUCCGGCGUUCUCGCCGGUGCACUCUGCCAGUCCAGGCCAGCAUCAGUUUGCCCCGGGGGAUAAAGGCGGCGGGAAUGUGGCUCCCUUCGGGGAGUGUUAUAGCCCGUCGUGUAAUGCCCUGGGGCGGACUGAGGAACGCGCUUCGGCACGGAUGCUGGCGUAAUGGUCAUCAAUGACCCGUCUUGAAACACGGACCAAGGAGUCGUCUUCGUAUGCGAGUGUUCGGGUGUCAAACCCCUACGCGUAAUGAAAGUGAACGUAGGUGAGAGCUUCGGCGCAUCACCGACCGAUCCUGAUGUUCUCGGAUGGAUUUGAGUAAGAGCAUACGGGGCCGGACCCGAAAGAAGGUGAACUAUGCCUGUAUAGGGUGAAGCCAGAGGAAACUCUGGUGGAGGCUCGCAGCGGUUCUGACGUGCAAAUCGAUCGUCAAAUAUGGGCAUGGGGGGCGAAAGACUAAUCGAACCUUCUAGUAGCUGGUUUCCGC
This 866-nucleotide ribosomal RNA is filed under the name Sarocladium kiliense. RNAcentral's name for it is "LSU rRNA". It matches the Rfam family "Eukaryotic large subunit ribosomal RNA", at positions 71 to 961 of the family's 3401-position model. The record is from RNAcentral. Lineage: Eukaryota; Fungi; Ascomycota; Sordariomycetes; Hypocreales; Sarocladiaceae.